Molecule: ribosomal RNA, 582 nt
Filed under: Triticum aestivum (bread wheat)
Lineage: Eukaryota; Viridiplantae; Streptophyta; Magnoliopsida; Poales; Poaceae
Description: partial small subunit ribosomal RNA
Source: RNAcentral
AUGGAGAGCUCCUCCUCGUCAUCUCUGUUGCUGAGCUCGUAUACCGGCGGCAACAGGAGGGCCAGGGAGGCCGACCUCGACGUUGUCUCGUCCGCGGAGGCCGAGGCCGCCAAGAGGAUGCGGCCCGAGGACCUGCUGGACCUGCUCGACGACGACGCCGACGCCGCGGCGGCCGGCGACCUGGCCUCCGUCAUGCGCAGCCUCGAGGAGGAGAUUUGCGCCGGCGACCUGGCCCCGCCGCAGCCGGAGCUCGGCUUCCUGCUCGAGGCCUCGGACGACGAGCUCGGCCUGCCGCCGGCGGCGGGCGCGGCGUCCUCCUCGUCGGACGACGCCGGGGGCUGGGAGCCGGAGGAGCCGGCCGGCGUCUUCGCGGAGCAGAUCUGGGGCUUCGAGGACGAGAUUGACGGCGCCUACGCCUUCGGCGGCGUCGCCUCCUCGCCGGAGGCGGCAGCGGCUGCCGCCGCGGCCGCGGCCGAGUGGGGCGACGACGGCUUCGACGCCGGCCUCUUCGGCUUCGGCGACGAGUCCUUCGGGCCGUCCGAUCUCGCCGUGCUCCGCCACGAGACCAUGCCGGCCGUCUGA